This 450-nucleotide ribosomal RNA is filed under the name uncultured crenarchaeote. RNAcentral's name for it is "bacterial SSU rRNA". It matches the Rfam family "Archaeal small subunit ribosomal RNA", at positions 453 to 903 of the family's 1478-position model. The record is from RNAcentral. Lineage: Archaea; Thermoproteati; Thermoproteota.
UGGUGUCAGCCGCCGCGGUAAAACCAGCACCUCAAGUGGUCAGGAUGAUUAUUGGGCCUAAAGCAUCCGUAGCCGGCUCUGUAAGUUUUCGGUUAAAUCUGUACGCUCAACGUACAGGCUGCCGGGAAUACUGCAGAACUAGGGAGUGGGAGAGGUAGACGGUACUCGGUAGGAAGUGGUAAAACGCUUUGAUCUAUCGAUGACCACCUGUGGCGAAGGCGGUCUACCAGAACACGUCCGACGGUGAGGGAUGAAAGCUGGGGGAGCAAACCGGAUUAGAUACCCGGGUAGUCCCAGCUGUAAACUAUGCAAACUCAGUGAUGCAUUGGCUUGUGGCCAAUGCAGUGCUGCAGGGAAGCCGUUAAGUUUGCCGCCUGGGAAGUACGUACGCAAGUAUGAAACUUAAAGGAAUUGGCGGGGGAGCACCACAAGGGGUGAAGCCUGCGGUUC